CCUACGGGUGGCAGCAGUGGGGAAUAUUUGACAAUGGGGGCAACCCUGAUCCAGCCAUGCCGCGUGUGUGAAGAAGGCCCUCGGGUUGUAAAGCACUUUCAGUGAGGAAGAACGCCUGGUGGUUAAUACCCAUCAGGAAAGACAUCACUCACAGAAGAAGCACCGGCUAACUCCGUGCCAGCAGCCGCGGUAAUACGGAGGGUGCGAGCGUUAAUCGGAAUUACUGGGCGUAAAGCGCGCGUAGGUGGCUUGAUAAGCCGGUUGUGAAAGCCCCGGGCUCAACCUGGGAACGGCAUCCGGAACUGUCAAGCUAGAGUGCAGGAGAGGAAGGUAGAAUUCCCGGUGUAGCGGUGAAAUGCGUAGAGAUCGGGAGGAAUACCAGUGGCGAAGGCGGCCUUCUGGACUGACACUGACACUGAGGUGCGAAAGCGUGGGUAGCAAACAGGAUUAGAUACCCGAGUAGUC
RNAcentral lists this ribosomal RNA (465 nucleotides) under Vreelandella stevensii. Its description in RNAcentral is "partial 16S ribosomal RNA". It matches the Rfam family "Bacterial small subunit ribosomal RNA", at positions 338 to 795 of the family's 1533-position model. Lineage: Bacteria; Pseudomonadati; Pseudomonadota; Gammaproteobacteria; Oceanospirillales; Halomonadaceae. The record is from RNAcentral.